CCUACGGGGGGCAGCAGUGAGGAAUAUUGGUCAAUGGACGAGAGUCUGAACCAGCCAAGUAGCGUGAAGGAUGACUGCCCUAUGGGUUGUAAACUUCUUUUAUAUGGGAAUAAAAUGUUCCACGUGUGGGCUUUUGUAUGUACCAUAUGAAUAAGGAUCGGCUAACUCCGUGCCAGCAGCCGCGGUAAUACGGAGGAUCCGAGCGUUAUCCGGAUUUAUUGGGUUUAAAGGGAGCGUAGGUGGAUUGUUAAGUCAGUUGUGAAAGUUUGCGGCUCAACCGUAAAAUUGCAGUUGAAACUGGCAGUCUUGAGUACCGGAGAGGUCAUCGGAAUUCCUUGUGUAGCGGUGAAAUGCGUAGAUAUAAGGAAGAACACCAGUGGCGAAGGCGGAUGACUGGACGGCAACUGACGGUGAGGCGCGAAAGCGUGGGGAGCAAACAGGAUUAGAUACCCUUGUAGUC
This 460-nucleotide ribosomal RNA is filed under the name uncultured bacterium. Its description in RNAcentral is "partial 16S ribosomal RNA". It matches the Rfam family "Bacterial small subunit ribosomal RNA", at positions 338 to 795 of the family's 1533-position model. The record is from RNAcentral.